RNAcentral lists this non-coding RNA (219 nucleotides) under Thermacetogenium phaeum. Its description in RNAcentral is "T-box sequence". It matches the Rfam family "T-box leader". From Rfam's summary of the family: Uncharged tRNA acts as the effector for transcription antitermination of genes in the T-box leader family. T-boxes are found upstream of many aminoacyl-tRNA synthetase genes and some amino acid biosynthetic genes usually in Gram-positive bacteria. The anticodon of a specific tRNA base pairs to a specifier sequence within the T-box motif, and the NCCA acceptor tail of the tRNA base pairs to a conserved bulge in the T-box antiterminator hairpin. Lineage: Bacteria; Bacillati; Bacillota; Clostridia; Thermoanaerobacterales; Thermoanaerobacteraceae. The record is from RNAcentral.
GAUAAAGUGAUGACCGGGACGAGUAUGCUGUUUUCGGAAUCAAGCAGCGAGCUGGGAUAGUGAGAGCCGGUGUUUCCGUACUGCAGAAAAUCACCCGGGAGCGCCUAACCGAAAACCGCAUGGUAAGUAGGUCUGGCCGUUUUAGGAACGUUAACCCCUAAUUCUUAAUUCUCUGAAGAAGGAAAUAGGGUGGUACCGCGGGAACCUCUCGCCCCUGUU